This 405-nucleotide ribosomal RNA is filed under the name uncultured bacterium. RNAcentral describes it as "bacterial SSU rRNA". It matches the Rfam family "Bacterial small subunit ribosomal RNA", at positions 355 to 775 of the family's 1533-position model. The record is from RNAcentral.
CAAGGAAUCUUCCGCAAUGGGCGAAAGCCUGACGGAGCAACGCCGCGUGCGGGAUGACGCCCUUCGGGGUGUAAACCGCUUUUCAGGGGGAAGAAGAUCUGACGGUACCCCUGGAAUAAGGACCGGCUAACUACGUGCCAGCAGCCGCGGUAAUACGUAGGGUCCGAGCGUUGUCCGGAGUUACUGGGCGUAAAGCGCACGCAGGCGGCGGUGUUGGCCCGGCGUGAAAGCCCCCGGCUCAACCGGGGAGGGUCGUCGGGUACCGCACCGCUUGAGGGCGGUAGGGGCUGGUGGAAUGCCUGGUGUAGUGGUGAAAUGCGUAGAGAUCAGGCGGAACACCCGUGGCGAAGGCGGCCAGCUGGGCCGUCCCUGACGCUGAUGUGCGAAGGCGUGGGGAGCGAACGG